This is a long non-coding RNA of Mytilus californianus (California mussel), 3493 nucleotides long. RefSeq lists it as uncharacterized. The transcript has 3 exons. Lineage: Eukaryota; Metazoa; Mollusca; Bivalvia; Mytilida; Mytilidae. The record is from RefSeq and is a predicted model, not a curated record.
AAUUUUUAUACGACCGCAAAAAUUAAAAAUUUUUUGGUCGUAUAUUGGUAUGACGUUGGCGUCGUCGUCGUCCGGCGUCGUCGUCGUCGUCGUCGUCGUCGUCGUCGUCGUCGUCUGGCGUCGUCCGGCGUCGUCCGAAGACACAUUGGUUUUCGCACUCUAACUUUAGUUUAAGUGAAUGGAUCUCCAUGAAAUUUUACCAUAAGGUUCAAUACCACAAAAGGAAGGUUGGGAUUGAUUUUGGGGGUUAUGGUACCAACAGUUAAGGAAUUAGGGGCCAAAAAGGGGCCAAAAAUAAGCAUUUUUGUAACUUCCAGACAAUAACUUGUGUGUAAGUGUAUGGAUCUCUCUGACAUUGUACCACAAGGUUCCAUAUCACAAAGGAAAGGCUGUAAUUGAUUUUGGGGGUAAUUGCCUCAAAAUUUUAGGAAUUAGGGGCCAAAAAAGGGGCAAAAAACAAGCAUUUUUCUAGUUUCAUGACAAUAACUUGUGUGUAAGUGUUUGGAUAUUUCUGAAAUUGUACUACAAGGUUCCAUAUCACAAAGGGAAAGCUGGAAUUGAGUUUGGGGGUAAUUGCCCGAAACGUUUAGGAAUUGGGGGCCAAAAAGGGGCCAAAAAUAAGCAUUUUUCUAGUUUCCAGACAAUAACUUGUGUUCAAGUGUAUGGAUCUCUCUGAAAUUGUACUGCAAGGUACCAUACCACAAAGGGAAGGCUGGGAUUGAGUUUGGGGGUGAUGAAUCAUAAGGGGGUUCAAAAAAUUUGGGGGGGGAUUUUUUUUUUUUCUUUUUUUUUCUUUUUUUCCUUUUUUUUUUUCUUUUAAAAUUUUCCAUUUUAAGUUGGUUAUUUCUGAUUAAUAUUUAAAAGCAAAUAAUAAUGAUAUGGUAGGAGAUACACACCAAACAGGAUGUGUAAAUUAUUAUCUAAUAAGUAUUGUGCAAUAGCAAGAAAUUUUCAAUUGCACAGUAUUGCACAAUAGCAAGAAAUCUUCAAUUGCACAGUAUUGCGCAAUAGCAAGAAAUCUUCAAUUGCACAGUAUUGCGCAAUAGCAAGAAAUCUUCAAUUGCACAGUAUUGCGCAAUAGCAAGAAAUAUCCAAUAGCACAAUAUUGCGCAAUAGCAAGAAAUUGUCAAUUGUACAGUAUUGCACAAUAGCAAGAAAUAUUCAAUUGCACAGUAUUGUGCAAAAGAAGAUACUUCGUAUAAAUUGCUUAUUUCUUGAUCAAUUUCAAUGGGGUUUUAUUCUUGAAUUCUUGGGGUUCUUUAAUAUGCUGAAUCUAACCGUGUAUUAAGUUUUUGGAUUUUGGGCCCCGUUUUUAAAUUGGUCCACAUUGAGGUCCAAAGGGUCCAAAAUUUAACUUUGUUUGAUUUCAUCAAAAAUUGAAUUAUUGGGGUUCUUUGAUAUGCUGAAUCUAACCGUGUAUUUAGAUUCUUAAUUUUUGGUUCCAUUUUCAAAUUGGUCUACAUUAAGGUCCAAAGGGUCCAAAAUUAAACUUAGUUUGAUUUUAACAAAAAUUGAAUUUUUAGGGUUCUUUGAUAUGCUGAAUCUAAACAUGUAUUUAGAUUUUUGAUUAUGGGCCCAGUUUUCAAGUUGGUCCAAAUCGGGGUCCAAAAUUAAACUUUGUUUGAUUUCAACAAAAAUUGAAUAUAUGGGGUUCUUUGAUAUGCUGAAUCUAACCAUGUAUUUAGAUUUUUGAUUUUUGGGCCCUGUUAUCAACUUUGUCCACAUUGAGGUCAAAAGGGUCCAAAAUUUAACUUUGUUUGAUUUCAUCAAAAAUUGAAUUAUUGGGGUUCUUUGAUAUGCCGAAUCUAACCGUGUAUUUAGAUUCUUAAUUUUUGGUUCCGUUUUCAAAUUGGUCUACAUUAAGGUCCAAAGGGUCCAAAAUUAAACUUAGUUUGAUUUUAACAAAAAUUGAAUUUUUAGGUUUCUUUGAUAUGCUGAAUCUAAACAUGUAUUUAGAUUUUUGAUUAUGGGCCCAGUUUUCAAGUUGGUCCAAAUCGGGGUCCAAAAUUAAACUUUGUUUGAUUUCAACAAAAAUUGAAUAUAUGGGGUUCUUUGAUAUGCUGAAUCUAACCAUGUAUUUAGAUUUUUGAUUUUUGGGCCCUGUUAUCAACUUUGUCCACAUUGAGGUCAAAAGGGUCCAAAAUUUAACUUUGUUUGAUUUCAUCAAAAAUUGAAUUAUUGGGGUUCUUUGAUAUGCUGAAUCUAACCGUGUAUUUUUAUUCUUAAUUUUUGGUUCCGUUUUCAAAUUGGUCUACAUUAAGGUCCAAAGGGUCCAAAAUAAAACUUAGUUUGAUUUUAACAAAAAUUAAAUUUUUAGGGUUCUUUGAUAUGCUGAAUCUAAACAUUUAUUUAGAUUUUUGAUUAUGGGCCCAGUUUUCAAGUUGGUCCAAAUCGGGGUCCAAAAUUAAACUUUGUUUGAUUUCAACAAAAAUUGAAUAUAUGGGGUUCUUUGAUAUGCUGAAUCUAACCAUGUAUUUAGAUUUUUGAUUUUUGGGCCCUGUUAUCAACUUUGUCCACAUUGAGGUCAAAAGGGUCCAAAAUUUAACUUUGUUUGAUUUCAUCAAAAAUUGAAUUAUUGGGGUUCUUUGAUAUGCCGAAUCUAACCGUGUAUUUAGAUUCUUAAUUUUUGGUUCCGUUUUCAAAUUGGUCUACAUUAAGGUCCAAAGGGUCCAAAAUUAAACUUAGUUUGAUUUUAACAAAAAUUGAAUUUUUAGGGUUCUUUGAUAUGCUGAAUCUAAACAUUUAUUUAGAUUUUUGAUUAUGGGCCCAGUUUUCAAGUUGGUCCAAAUCGGGGUCCAAAAUUAAACUUUGUUUGAUUUCAACAAAAAUUGAAUAUAUGGGGUUCUUUGAUAUGCUGAAUCUAACCAUGUAUUUAGAUUUUUGAUUUUUGGGCCCUGUUAUCAACUUUGUCCACAUUGAGGUCAAAAGGGUCCAAAAUUUAACUUUGUUUGAUUUCAUCAAAAAUUGAAUUAUUGGGGUUCUUUGAUAUGCCGAAUCUAACCGUGUAUUUAGAUUCUUAAUUUUUGGUUCCGUUUUCAAAUUGGUCUACAUUAAGGUCCAAAGGGUCCAAAAUUAAACUUAGUUUGAUUUUAACAAAAAUUGAAUUUUUAGGGUUCUUUGAUAUGCUGAAUCUAAACAUGUAUUUAGAUUUUUGAUUAUGGGCCCAGUUUUCAAGUUGGUCCAAAUCGGGGUCCAAAAUUAAACUUUGUUUGAUUUCAUAAAAAAUUGAAUUCUUGGGGUUCUUUGAUAUGCUGAAUCUAACCAUGUAUUUAGAUUUUGGAUAUUGGAACAUAAUAGGUGAAUGUCCAAUUUAAAAUUUUUAAGUUCUUAGACCACAUUCAUUCUGUGUCAGAAACCUAUGCUGUGUCAAAUAUUUAAUCACAAUCCAAAUUCAGAGCUGUAUCAAGCUUGAAUGUUAUGUCCAUACUUGCCCCAACUGUUCAGGGUUCGACCUCUGCGGUCGUAUCAAGCUGCGCCCUGCGGAGCAUUUUAU